Molecule: transfer RNA, 91 nt
Filed under: Thaumarchaeota archaeon SCGC AB-539-E09
Lineage: Archaea; Thermoproteati; Nitrososphaerota
Description: tRNA-Gly
Source: RNAcentral
UCGGCGGAAUCCAGCCUGGUAAGACUUCAGCCCCCCAUGAUUUGAACGGGGACAGCUGAUAACCCGGGUUCAAAUCCCGGCGGCCGCACCA